CAGAUUGAACGCUGGCGGCAGGCCUAACACAUGCAAGUCGAGCGGUAGCACAGAGAGCUUGCUCUCGGGUGACGAGCGGCGGACGGGUGAGUAAUGUCUGGGAAACUGCCUGAUGGAGGGGGAUAACUACUGGAAACGGUAGCUAAUACCGCAUAACGUCGCAAGACCAAAGUGGGGGACCUUCGGGCCUCAUGCCAUCAGAUGUGCCCAGAUGGGAUUAGCUAGUAGGUGGGGUAACGGCUCACCUAGGCGACGAUCCCUAGCUGGUCUGAGAGGAUGACCAGCCACACUGGAACUGAGACACGGUCCAGACUCCUACGGGAGGCAGCAGUGGGGAAUAUUGCACAAUGGGCGCAAGCCUGAUGCAGCCAUGCCGCGUGUGUGAAGAAGGCCUUCGGGUUGUAAAGCACUUUCAGCGGGGAGGAAGGCGAUAAGGUUAAUAACCUUGUCGAUUGACGUUACCCGCAGAAGAAGCACCGGCUAACUCCGUGCCAGCAGCCGCGGUAAUACGGAGGGUGCAAGCGUUAAUCGGAAUUACUGGGCGUAAAGCGCACGCAGGCGGUCUGUCAAGUCGGAUGUGAAAUCCCCGGGCUCAACCUGGGAACUGCAUUCGAAACUGGCAGGCUAGAGUCUUGUAGAGGGGGGUAGAAUUCCAGGUGUAGCGGUGAAAUGCGUAGAGAUCUGGAGGAAUACCGGUGGCGAAGGCGGCCCCCUGGACAAAGACUGACGCUCAGGUGCGAAAGCGUGGGGAGCAAACAGGAUUAGAUACCCUGGUAGUCCACGCCGUAAACGAUGUCGAUUUGGAGGUUGUGCCCUUGAGGCGUGGCUUCCGGAGCUAACGCGUUAAAUCGACCGCCUGGGGAGUACGGCCGCAAGGUUAAAACUCAAAUGAAUUGACGGGGGCCCGCACAAGCGGUGGAGCAUGUGGUUUAAUUCGAUGCAACGCGAAGAACCUUACCUGGUCUUGACAUCCACAGAACUUAGCAGAGAUGCUUUGGUGCCUUCGGGAACUGUGAGACAGGUGCUGCAUGGCUGUCGUCAGCUCGUGUUGUGAAAUGUUGGGUUAAGUCCCGCAACGAGCGCAACCCUUAUCCUUUGUUGCCAGCGGUUAGGCCGGGAACUCAAAGGAGACUGCCAGUGAUAAACUGGAGGAAGGUGGGGAUGACGUCAAGUCAUCAUGGCCCUUACGACCAGGGCUACACACGUGCUACAAUGGCAUAUACAAAGAGAAGCGACCUCGCGAGAGCAAGCGGACCUCAUAAAGUAUGUCGUAGUCCGGAUUGGAGUCUGCAACUCGACUCCAUGAAGUCGGAAUCGCUAGUAAUCGUAGAUCAGAAUGCUACGGUGAAUACGUUCCCGGGCCUUGUACACACCGCCCUCACACCAUGGGAGUGGGUUGCAAAAGAAGUAGGUA
RNAcentral lists this ribosomal RNA (1414 nucleotides) under Klebsiella sp. UIWRF0491. RNAcentral's name for it is "bacterial SSU rRNA". It matches the Rfam family "Bacterial small subunit ribosomal RNA". Lineage: Bacteria; Pseudomonadati; Pseudomonadota; Gammaproteobacteria; Enterobacterales; Enterobacteriaceae. The record is from RNAcentral.